UGGAUUUCCGCUUCCAUGCUAUCUUCAUAGUCAUGAAAACAAGACGUUUUGACGGUGAUUUUCACUUUCACUUUAAGUAACAAGAUCAUGAAUUUCCAAUGGAUUUCGGGUGUAAUUAUUUUUUCUGUAUUACUUGAACAAUUAAUCGCUGGAGACGUCCUGUAUGCCCUUACAAGUGGAAAUGUCGUUAUCAAUCCUCAAUUUAAAGGAGACUUAAAAGAGAUCCUUUGGAAACACCAUGGUCACAAGGCGGUUGAAUGGGAUUCAACAGGACAUUUUCAAAACUUUCGAGAAUUUAAGGGAAGAACAGAAUUAAAUACAGAGACUGGACAAAUUACCAUCAACAAUUUGACCGAUCAACAUAGUGGUAUCUAUGAAGCAGAGGGAGUGGUUGAUGGGCAAAUAAAGACUUUUAACCAGAACAUAGAAGUCUUGGACCCUGUGCAGCCUAAAAUCAGCUGUGAGCUCAACAACACCAUAGCUACACUGAGCUGCAGAGCAAGGGGUCCACAGGUCAAGUACAAAUGGCAAGGCCCUGGCCAGGAGGAGACCACUUGGAGUCAAGAGGAAAGGGGACCCAGCUUUAGCAGUCAUUCCUCAGGCUCAGACAACUACACCUGUGUGGCCAGAAACCCUGUCAGUGAGAAGACCCAGUCAUUCUACACUAAAGACUGCCCACCUUUAGAACUGUCGAGGGAAACCUACGUGAAUAUGGUUACUGGGGUUUUUGUUGGUGUGGUUGGCCUUGUCGGUCUCUUGAUUGGCGUGUUCAUCUAUAAAAGAAAAGGCAAAGGAAUAAAUCAAUGUGGAGAGAGGGGUGGGGCAGACAGCCUCAUCCCAGGACCAGGAGGAAACGGGGCUGAGAGAAACCAGGAGCCAUUUGGAAAGGGGUUCCAAAGUAUACCCAGUAAAAUAGAGGAUGUCAAGGAUGUAAACGAGGUCGACCUGAACAGCGAGGAGGCGAGAACAAUAGAGGAUGAGGACCGUCAGAUGUUGCUGGAGCAGAAAACUGGAACACAGAAUUCAAAUGUUACACUAGCCCUACCACUUUCUCCUGGAGGGCAGCCCCCACCGAAGCCUCCUCGAAAACCUGGCUCCAUCAGAGGCCCCUGUCUAAUGCUUGUCGGGGACAAACAGUCAGACGUUGAUACGGGUAACUAUGCGAAGCAAAAUUAUCAAGAGUCACCUGUUUGGUUUCCAGCUACAAGAAGGUCAGUUGAGGAUGAGGGAGAAAAGAGACAACUGAGUAUCAAGAAGGGAGGCUUAGAUUACGAAGAGGUAGGUGAGGAUGAGGUAGAAAAGAGAGAGAUGAAUAUCGAGGAGGGAGGCUUAGAUGACGAAGAUGUGGGUGAGGAUGAGGGAGAAAAGAGAGAGAUGAGUAUCAAGGAGGGAGGUUUAGAUUACGAGGUGGGUGAGGAUGAGGGAGAAAAGAGACAACUGAGUAUCAAGGAGGGAGGCUUAGAUUACGAAGAGGUAGGUGAGGAUGAGGUAGAAAAGAGAGAGAUGAGUGAUGAGAAGGGAUGCUUAGACUAUGAGGAAGGGGGUAUGGAUAGAGAGGAGGGAGGAAAGGUUUAUGGGGAUGACAAAGAGAAUAAAAAGGGGGUGCAUGAGGAAGGAAAUAAAGAGAAAGGAGAUGAAGAGGAAGUAAGAACACAGGAUACGGGUGGAUUUGAAGUAGAGAGGGAAGAAAAAGUGGAAAGCUGUCGAGGUGGAACUGAAUGUGAGGAUAAACAAGAGGGCCUGUUGCCUGAAAUAAGGCCCGAUGAGCAGCAGACAGAUGCGGAAGCCAGCACUCACUGUGGAACAGGAAAAACCACCAACCCCUCGGAGAACGGCUCACAAAGACAGAGCUGUCACAAAUCAUCGCCUCCGCCCUCCAACCCGCGUUCCCCACCACCAGUGCCCCCAAAGCCAUCAGUAAGAAGACAUAAUACAGCUAGGCCGACAGGUGACACUGUCAUAUAUGGAAGUUUGAACAAGGAUGGUACUGUCCCCAAAUAAAGAUAGUGUGAUCGGACACUUUGUUACAUUACCCAAGUGGUCCUUUUAACCAGCUCUUGACCAUUUAAAACCAGUUACACUAGUUAAUAGUGCAUAGCCUACCUGCAUACGUGCAAAGUAACAAAUGGAGACCAAUGCAGGUGCGAUAGAGAUUGAUUUGAAUAAAAAGAGAGCUUGUGGGAGGAAUAUUGUCUAGGCUAUAUAUGUAUUUUAGACGCAUUGCAUCUGGCUACCAGCCUAUUCUCAUAUUACAUUGUAUGAUUGAAAUUCUUGUGGUUAUGAUUCUGUUAAUCUAUGGAAAUGGUUACCACUUAAUUUGUGAUUGUCAAUUAAAUGUUUGUUUUUUUAAUGAAUCAUUGGAAGGGUGUGACGUCCUUCAGCCUUACUUUCAGUUUCAUUUCUUGAAAUAAUAAGCUAAGAUCCAUCGUCCUUUGCUGUAGUCAGCGGUUGGGUGUGGAAGAAGGGACCAUUUAAUUCACUAGUUACUUCGAUAUGGGCAAAUCGAAGAGAGGCAUUUGGCCUAUUCUCUUUUUCAUGGGAAUGGCGGUGGGUCUAAACGCAGUUUCAGGUCAGACAAAAUACUUUAAGCUAGGAGGAACGCUUAAGUUGGAACAAGGCUCCCCUCCUCCGCCUGGCUCCUCCAUCACUUGGAAAUUCCAAUCGAAUAAGGUGAUAGAAUAUGAUCCUAAUUUCACUGAAGACAUUGAUGUCUAUGGAGAUUUUAAAAAUAGAGCAACACUGAAUAAAGCAACUGGACAGUUGGAAACUACUGACUUAACCAAAAAAGACAGUGGGGUUUACACUUUGGAAGUCAAUAGUGAAGUGAAUGCAACAUACACCGUCGCUGUUAUCCGUUCCGUCCCUACCCCAAAAAUAUUAUUAACAACAGAAGACGGUGUGUCACCGUGUGACAUCAGACAACAUACCUGCCGUCUCACCUGUGAGGUACCAGACUCCACUGAUGCUGAGCCAGUCACCUAUAGCUGGGAAGUGGAAACAGGAACAAUGGAGCCUAGUUCAGACAAAUACCGGGAUAUCAAUGACAUAGAUCGUGGUAAAACAUUCACCUGCAAGAUAAAGAAUCCAAUCAGUGAAGAGCAAGCUUCUUAUACAGUUAACAAAGGAAUAAAUGGACUUGGAAUUGGACUUGGAAUUGCAUCUGGUGUGGGUGUGCCUCUGCUAGUGUUGGCUCUUUUAUCUCAAUUUAUACCACAACUUAGGGAAAAGAGAAAUAAUUUUUUCCAGUCUUUGAGAUCUC
Molecule: RNA transcript, 3259 nt
Organism: Hypomesus transpacificus
Lineage: Eukaryota; Metazoa; Chordata; Actinopteri; Osmeriformes; Osmeridae
Exons: 9
Source: RefSeq, a predicted model, not a curated record